Molecule: ribosomal RNA, 425 nt
Filed under: uncultured bacterium
Lineage: Bacteria
Description: partial 16S ribosomal RNA
Rfam family: Bacterial small subunit ribosomal RNA
Source: RNAcentral
GUUAGGAAUAUUGGACAAUGGGCGAAAGCCUGAUCCAGCCAUGCCGCGUGAACGAUGAAUGCCUUCGGGUUGUAAAGUUCUUUAGCCGAUGAUUAUAAUGACUGUAGUCGGAAAAUAAGCCCCGGCUAACUUCGUGCCAGCAGCCGCGGUAAUACGAAGGGGGCGAGCGUUAUUCGGAAUCACUGGGCGUAAAGCGUGCGUAGGCGGUUUUAUAAGUUAGGAGUGAAAGCCCAGGGCUCAACCUUGGAAUUGCUCUUAAAACUGCAAGGCUCGAAUCUCGGAGAGGAUAGCGGAAUUUCCAGUGUAGCAGUGAAAUGCGUAGAUAUUGGAAGGAACACCAGUGGCGUAAGCGGCUAUCUGGACGAGUAUUGACGCUGAGGCACGAAAGCGUGGGGAUCAAACAGGAUUAGAUACCCUGGUAGUCC